GGGCCCGCACAAGCGGUGGAGCAUGUGGUUUAAUUCGAUGAUACGCGAGGAACCUUACCAGGGCUUAAAUGUAAGUUGCAUAAGCUAGAGAUAGCUUUUUCUUCGGACUACUUACAAGGUGCUGCAUGGUUGUCGUCAGCUCGUGCCGUGAGGUGUCAGGUUAAGUCCUAUAACGAGCGCAACCCCUGUUGUUAGUUGCCAUCGAGUAAUGUCGGGAACUCUAACAAGACUGCCGGUGCAAACCGCGAGGAAGGUGGGGAUGACGUCAAAUCAUCACGGCCCUUACGUCCUGGGCUACACACGUGCUACAAUGGCCGGUACAGAGAGCAGCCACUACGCGAGUAGGAGCGAAUCUAUAAAACCGGUCUCAGUUCGGAUUGGAGUCUGCAACUCGACUCCAUGAAGGUGGAAUC
RNAcentral lists this ribosomal RNA (413 nucleotides) under uncultured bacterium. RNAcentral describes it as "bacterial SSU rRNA". It matches the Rfam family "Bacterial small subunit ribosomal RNA", at positions 917 to 1333 of the family's 1533-position model. The record is from RNAcentral.